UGGCUCAGAUUGAACGCUGGCGGCAGGCCUAACACAUGCAAGUCGAGCGGUAACAUUUCUAGCUUGCUAGAAGAUGACGAGCGGCGGACGGGUGAGUAAUGCUUGGGAACAUGCCUUUAGGUGGGGGACAACAGUUGGAAACGACUGCUAAUACCGCAUAAUGUCUACGGACCAAAGUGGGGGACCUUCGGGCCUCACGCCUAAAGAUUGGCCCAAGUGGGAUUAGCUAGUUGGUGAGGUAAUGGCUCACCAAGGCGACGAUCCCUAGCUGGUUUGAGAGGAUGAUCAGCCACACUGGGACUGAGACACGGCCCAGACUCCUACGGGAGGCAGCAGUGGGGAAUAUUGCACAAUGGGCGCAAGCCUGAUGCAGCCAUGCCGCGUGUGUGAAGAAGGCCUUCGGGUUGUAAAGCACUUUCAGUAAGGAGGAAAGGUUGGAUGUUAAUAGCAUUCAGUCUGGACGUA
Molecule: ribosomal RNA, 465 nt
Filed under: marine sediment bacterium ISA-2672
Lineage: Bacteria
Description: bacterial SSU rRNA
Rfam family: Bacterial small subunit ribosomal RNA
Source: RNAcentral